RNAcentral lists this ribosomal RNA (433 nucleotides) under uncultured bacterium. Its description in RNAcentral is "partial 16S ribosomal RNA". It matches the Rfam family "Bacterial small subunit ribosomal RNA", at positions 29 to 507 of the family's 1533-position model. The record is from RNAcentral.
AACGAACGCUUUCUUCCUUCCUAACACAUGCAAGUCGAACGAGACCUUCGGGUCUAGUGGCGCACGGGUGCGUAACGCGUGGGAACCUGCCCUUAGGUUCGGAAUAACUCCCCGAAAGGGGUGCUAAUACCGGAUAAUGUCUUCGGACCGAAGAUUUAUCGCCUUUGGAUGGGCCCGCGUUGGAUUAGCUAGUUGGUAGGGUAAAAGCCUACCAAGGCGACGAUCCAUAGCUGGUCUGAGAGGAUGAUCAGCCACACUGGGACUGAGACACGGCCCAGACUCCUACGGGAGGCAGCAGUGGGGAAUAUUGGACAAUGGGCGAAAGCCUGAUCCAGCAAUGCCGCGUGAGUGAUGAAGGCCUUAGGGUUGUAAAGCUCUUUUACCCGGGAUGAUAAUGACAGUACCGGGAGAAUAAGCGCCGGCUAACUCCGUG